UAGGGAAUCUUCCGCAAUGGACGAAAGUCUGACGGAGCAACGCCGCGUGAGUGAAGAAGGAUUUCGGUUCGUAAAACUCUGUUGUUAGGGAAGAAAAAAUGUAUAGUAACUAUAUACAAAAGAGACGGUACCUAACCAGAAAGCCACGGCUAACUACGUGCCAGCAGCCGCGGUAAUACGUAGGUGGCAAGCGUUGUCCGGAAUUAUUGGGCGUAAAGCGCGCGCAGGUGGUUUAGAAAGUGUGAUGUGAAAGCCCACGGCUCAACCGUGGAGGGUCAUUGGAAACUAAUAAACUUGAGUGCAGGAGAGAAAAGUGGAAUUCCUAGCGUAGCGGUGAAAUGCGUAGAGAUUAGGAGGAACACCGGUGGCGAAAGCGGCUUUUUGGCCUGCAACUGACACUGAGGAGCGAAAGCGUGGGGAGCAAACAGG
RNAcentral lists this ribosomal RNA (429 nucleotides) under Verrucomicrobiota bacterium. RNAcentral's name for it is "Verrucomicrobia bacterium partial 16S ribosomal RNA". It matches the Rfam family "Bacterial small subunit ribosomal RNA", at positions 355 to 776 of the family's 1533-position model. Lineage: Bacteria; Pseudomonadati; Verrucomicrobiota. The record is from RNAcentral.